CACGUAGGGCGCAAGCGUUGUCCGGAAUCAUUGGGCGUAAAGAGCUCGUAGGUGGUUUGUCACGUCUGCUGUGAAAACUCGGGGCUUAACCCCGAGCUUGCAGUGGAUACGGGCAGACUAGAGGUAGGUAGGGGAGAAUGGAAUUCCCGGUGUAGCGGUGAAAUGCGCAGAUAUCGGGAGGAACACCGGUGGCGAAGGCGGUUCUCUGGGCCUUACCUGACACUGAGGAGCGAAAGCGUGGGGAG
Molecule: ribosomal RNA, 245 nt
Filed under: uncultured Actinoallomurus sp.
Lineage: Bacteria; Bacillati; Actinomycetota; Actinomycetes; Streptosporangiales; Thermomonosporaceae
Description: partial 16S ribosomal RNA
Rfam family: Bacterial small subunit ribosomal RNA
Source: RNAcentral